This is a long non-coding RNA of Saccostrea cuccullata (small rock oyster), 657 nucleotides long. RefSeq lists it as uncharacterized. NCBI's taxonomy places the organism in Eukaryota, Metazoa, Mollusca, Bivalvia, Ostreida, Ostreidae. The transcript has 3 exons. The record is from RefSeq and is a predicted model, not a curated record.
AACUGAAUAGCCAGGUUCCAUUUGCACUUCCUGUUACAGAAAAAAAAAACCGAGUCAGCAAGAGCUCCUUUCUAUCGUUUGUUCCAGACUUUCCCCUUGGCUGAUUGUGAUCUAAUUCCUUAAAACAAUGGUUCUGCGUAACGCAGCCAGGUGAAUCGAAUGGUCUUUUUAUGCUUAGUGACAUUUAUUUGAAGGUUUACUAAAUUUUGGGUAAGUAAUUAAAAGACACAAGACUGAAAAACUGCCUGUAAACACAGCUAUCAUUAAAGUCAAUGGAUUACCUAAGAACAUCCAAGCAGUAUGAUAUCAGAGACUAGCAAUUUUUAUCACUCAAUGUGGCAGAAAAACCUAAAUAAAUAUUGAAAUGUUCAAUUUCUUUGUUCAUUGCUUUUUUUCUCUUGUAUAUGAAUAUUGCAUGAUAUUUAUGCGAAUUUCGCAUGAUUUUUACAUGAAAAACUGAUAAUUUGGAAUUCGCAUGAAUAUCAUGCGAAAUUUCACUCACAUGAAAAUCGCAUGAAUUUCGCAUAAAUAUUGUAUGAGGACAUUCGCAUGAAAUUCGCAUGUGGAACUUUUCGCAUGGUUUUUAUAUGAUUUUCGUACGAAAUUCAUGCGAAAAGGCAUUCGCAUGAAAAUCAUGCGAGCCACUUUUCCCUGUGU